GAUGAAGAACGUAGCGAACUGCGAUAAGUAAUGUGAAUUGCAGAAUUCAGUGAAUCAUCGAGUCUUUGAACGCACAUUGCGCCCCCUGGUAUUCCGGGGGGCAUGCCUGUUCGAGCGUCAUUUCACCACUCAAGCCUCGCUUGGUAUUGGGCAACGCGGUCCGCCGCGUGCCUCAAAUCGACCGGCUGGGUCUUCUGUCCCCUAAGCGUUGUGGAAACUAUUCGCUAAAGGGUGUUCGGGAGGCUACGCCGUAAAACAACCCCAUUUCUAAGGUUGACCUCGGAUCAGGUAGGGAUACCCGCUGAACUUAAGCAUAUCAAUAAGCGGAGGA
This 331-nucleotide unclassified non-coding RNA is filed under the name soil metagenome. RNAcentral describes it as "partial contains 5.8S ribosomal RNA, internal transcribed spacer 2, and large subunit ribosomal RNA". The stretch from base 1 to 120 matches the Rfam family "5.8S ribosomal RNA", at positions 35 to 154 of the family's 154-position model. The record is from RNAcentral.